AUUGAACGCUGGCGGCAGGCCUAACACAUGCAAGUCGAGCGGAUGAAGGGAGCUUGCUCCUGGAUUCAGCGGCGGACGGGUGAGUAAUGCCUAGGAAUCUGCCUGGUAGUGGGGGAUAACGUCCGGAAACGGGCGCUAAUACCGCAUACGUCCUGAGGGAGAAAGUGGGGGAUCUUCGGACCUCACGCUAUCAGAUGAGCCUAGGUCGGAUUAGCUAGUUGGUGGGGUAAAGGCCUACCAAGGCGACGAUCCGUAACUGGUCUGAGAGGAUGAUCAGUCACACUGGAACUGAGACACGGUCCAGACUCCUACGGGAGGCAGCAGUGGGGAAUAUUGGACAAAGGGCGAAAGCCUGAUCCAGCCAUGCCGCGUGUGUGAAGAAGGUCUUCGGAUUGUAAAGCACUUUAAGUUGGGAGGAAGGGCAGUAAGUUAAUACCUUGCCGUUUUGACGUUACCAACAGAAUAAGCACCGGCUAACUUCGUG
RNAcentral lists this ribosomal RNA (484 nucleotides) under uncultured bacterium. Its description in RNAcentral is "partial 16S ribosomal RNA". It matches the Rfam family "Bacterial small subunit ribosomal RNA", at positions 30 to 507 of the family's 1533-position model. The record is from RNAcentral.